Molecule: long non-coding RNA, 710 nt
Organism: Pantherophis guttatus
Lineage: Eukaryota; Metazoa; Chordata; Lepidosauria; Squamata; Colubridae
Source: RefSeq, a predicted model, not a curated record
GAGACAUCUGCAGGGAGAAAGUUAAAAAAGUCAAGAAGGCCAUGGCUAUAUGAUUGAAGUUGCAUCUCUUUUUAUCAUAUACAUGCAAUGGCCAUAAUAAAGAGGUGGACCCUUAUAUCUUGACUUUUAAUAACUCCCAGUCCCAUAGAUGGUACAAAAUUGUACUACUGAUUUUAGCAGUAUGGUUUUCAAGUAAAAGAAAGGACAUAAGAAUGGAAGGGCCUUGGUGAGAUGAAAUUCUUCCAAUAUUUUCCCUUUAAAGCUCUCCCUCUGCAAGUUCCUUAAAGAUAUUGGACAGGUUUGGUCUCCUUCCUUCCAUUGAGGCACCUGCAUCCUUAAAAGAUUUCCCAUAGCCUCCCUUCUGGUCAGAAGAAUGAAUUGAAGCUCCUAUACUGAAAAGUAUUUCUCUGCUGUAUUAUUAUAGCCUUCCUGACAGAGUUCUCCUGUGUCUUCUUUGGAGGUUUGCUUGACUUUUUUCCUCGCAAGUCAGGACAGAACGGAGAUGGGCUGACAAGUGAAAAAACUGCCUCUCACUUCCCUAAACAAUAUUCUACAGGGCAGAGAAGAACCAGAAAAGCAAGCCCAGGCAGGUGGGAAUUUUCAAUCUGAAACGUGAUAAACUCGUCAGAGGUUGAUUAUGCAAAUCAAAGAGAGCAGAAACAGAAUGUUUUGGAGGAGUCAACCAAAGUCAUAACCCUCAUGUGCUGUCA